GUUGGCGGCAGGCCUAACACAUGCAAGUCGAGCGGUAGCACAGAGAGCUUGCUCUCGGGUGACGAGCGGCGGACGGGUGAGUAAUGUCUGGGAAACUGCCUGAUGGAGGGGGAUAACUACUGGAAACGGUAGCUAAUACCGCAUAAUGUCGCAAGACCAAAGUGGGGGACCUUCGGGCCUCAUGCCAUCAGAUGUGCCCAGAUGGGAUUAGCUAGUAGGUGGGGUAACGGCUCACCUAGGCGACGAUCCCUAGCUGGUCUGAGAGGAUGACCAGCCACACUGGAACUGAGACACGGUCCAGACUCCUACGGGAGGCAGCAGUGGGGAAUAUUGCACAAUGGGCGCAAGCCUGAUGCAGCCAUGCCGCGUGUGUGGAGAAGGCCUUCGGGUUGUAAAGCACUUUCAGCGGGGAGGAAGGCGGUGAGGUUAAUAACCUCAUCGAUUGACGUUACCCGCAGAAGAAGCACCGGCUAACUCCGUGCCAGCAGCCGCGGUAAUACGGAGGGUGCAAGCGUUAAUCGGAAUUACUGGGCGUAAAGCGCACGCAGGCGGUCUGUCAAGUCGGAUGUGAAAUCCCCGGGCUUAACCUGGGAACUGCAUUCGAAACUGGCAGGCUAGAGUCUUGUAGAGGGGGGUAGAAUUCCAGGUGUAGCGGUGAAAUGCGUAGAGAUCUGGAGGAAUACCGGUGGCGAAGGCGGCCCCCUGGACAAAGACUGACGCUCAGGUGCGAAAGCGUGGGGAGCAAACAGGAUUAGAUACCCUGGUAGUCCACGCCGUAAACGAUGUCGAUUUGGAGGUUGUGCCCUUGAGGCGUGGCUUCCGGAGCUAACGCGUUAAAUCGACCGCCUGGGGAGUACGGCCGCAAGGUUAAAACUCAAAUGAAUUGACGGGGGCCCGCACAAGCGGUGGAGCAUGUGGUUUAAUUCGAUGCAACGCGAAGAACCUUACCUGGUCUUGACAUCCACAGAACUUUCCAGAGAUGGAUUGGUGCCUUCGGGAACUGUGAGACAGGUGCUGCAUGGCUGUCGUCAGCUCGUGUUGUGAAAUGUUGGGUUAAGUCCCGCAACGAGCGCAACCCUUAUCCUUUGUUGCCAGCGGUUAGGCCGGGAACUCAAAGGAGACUGCCAGUGAUAAACUGGAGGAAGGUGGGGAUGACGUCAAGUCAUCAUGGCCCUUACGACCAGGGCUACACACGUGCUACAAUGGCAUAUACAAAGAGAAGCGACCUCGCGAGAGCAAGCGGACCUCAUAAAGUAUGUCGUAGUCCGGAUUGGAGUCUGCAACUCGACUCCAUGAAGUCGGAAUCGCUAGUAAUCGUAGAUCAGAAUGCUACGGUGAAUACGUUCCCGGGCCUUGUACACACCGCCCGUCACACCAUGGGAGUGGGUUGCAAAAGAAGUAGGUAGCUUAACCUUCGGGAGGGCGCUUACCACUUUGUGAUUCAUGACUGGGG
RNAcentral lists this ribosomal RNA (1453 nucleotides) under uncultured organism. RNAcentral describes it as "SSU rRNA". It matches the Rfam family "Bacterial small subunit ribosomal RNA". The record is from RNAcentral.